AUGAAACAACAACGCACGUAUGCCAGAACUUCAUCAAUUCUGCAAUCAGACCUUCAAGCUCGUGAAAUCUUCAUCGUAUCUUCAAAACUUCUUCGCGCUACUGCAACAAAACAACAACAGCAUGCAUUCAUUAAUUCAGCCAUGAGAACAAUAAUUGCAAUGCAAAAGAAGAGGGAGAGACUCGCAGAAGAGGAACGAGAAGACUCGUUGGAAUGA
Non-coding RNA from Vicia faba (fava bean), 216 nucleotides. Lineage: Eukaryota; Viridiplantae; Streptophyta; Magnoliopsida; Fabales; Fabaceae. The record is from the annotation of a GenBank genome assembly.